GCCAAGUUUGGCUAGCGGAUAACGUCACUAUUUUAAAAGGAGUGGAUAUCGGUUCCGGUUCGAUUAUUGGCA
Molecule: transfer RNA, 72 nt
Filed under: Vibrio cholerae
Lineage: Bacteria; Pseudomonadati; Pseudomonadota; Gammaproteobacteria; Vibrionales; Vibrionaceae
Description: tRNA-Leu
Source: RNAcentral